This is a long non-coding RNA of Mandrillus leucophaeus (drill), 485 nucleotides long. RefSeq lists it as uncharacterized. The transcript has 2 exons. The record is from RefSeq and is a predicted model, not a curated record. NCBI's taxonomy places the organism in Eukaryota, Metazoa, Chordata, Mammalia, Primates, Cercopithecidae.
CCCCAAGUCUGCCUAAUUGGCUUGUUUCCAGCAUCAGCAGUUUAGUAAUAGACUGGAUUUGCAAUCUGGUAUCUUUAGAGUUUUCACCCAUUAGUAAGAACAAAUAAAUGAAAUACAUUCUUGCCUUUCUAGAGGAUCCAAGAGUCAGUCUUGGGGAAAUUUACCAAUUUUGGUGUAUGGUCCAAUUUAUUAAAUGUUUACAGUUUGUCUGUGUAUCUCUUUUCCAUAGUCUAGUAUGGUUACUCAAUAUCCUAUCUAUAGGAUACACCUAGAAUUAUCCAAGUUAGGACAUCAGAGUGUACUUCUAACCUCAAAAGGCAAGCUUUUUCCUUUGACAUUGUGUCAAUGUAAUUUAUAUAUUGAUUUUAUAAUGUAGUCCAGCAGUAGAAGGCUAUGUUAAAUGUACCUGAAGAACUUUUUUUGGUAGCAAUAAAAUAGAGUUUGCGUUUAAUUAUUAUAAUUUUAAUAAACUAUUUAAAUUCAGG